GACGAACGCUGGCGGCGUGCUUAACACAUGCAAGUCGAGCGAGCGGUGGACGGGUGAGUAAUGUAUGGGGACUGCCCGAUAGAGGGGGAUAAUUACUGGAAACGGUGGCUAAUACCGCCUACUGUCGGAUAACCCAUAUGGGAUUAGCUAGUAGGUAAGGUAAUGGCUUACCUGGGCGACGAUCCCUAGCUGGUCUGAGAGGAUGAUCAGCCACGACGGGACUGGGAAACGGCCCGGAAGCCUAGGGAGGCAGCAGUGGGGAAUAGUGCACAAUGGGCUGAAGCCUGAUUGAGCAAUGCCGAGUGUAUGAAGAAGGCCCUAGGGUUGUAAAAUGCUGUCAGUCGGGAGGCGUUACCGACAGAAGAAGCACCGGCUAACUCCGUGCCAGCAGCCGCGGUAAUUC
RNAcentral lists this ribosomal RNA (403 nucleotides) under uncultured bacterium. RNAcentral describes it as "partial 16S ribosomal RNA". It matches the Rfam family "Bacterial small subunit ribosomal RNA", at positions 28 to 526 of the family's 1533-position model. The record is from RNAcentral.